RNAcentral lists this non-coding RNA (117 nucleotides) under Callithrix jacchus (white-tufted-ear marmoset). Lineage: Eukaryota; Metazoa; Chordata; Mammalia; Primates; Cebidae. The record is from Rfam by way of RNAcentral.
GCUGGGUGUGGUGGCUCACACCUGUAAUCCCAGCACUUUGGGAGGCCAAGGUGGGUGAAUCACCUGAGGUCAGGAGUUUGAGACCAACCUGGCCAACAAGGUGAAACCCCAUCUUUA